Non-coding RNA from Paracoccus sediminis, 74 nucleotides. NCBI's taxonomy places the organism in Bacteria, Pseudomonadati, Pseudomonadota, Alphaproteobacteria, Rhodobacterales, Paracoccaceae. The record is from Rfam.
GGGCCCAUACUCCAAUCGGUAGAGAGACGGGUCUUAAACACCCUACAGUCCGGGUUCGAGUCCCGGUGGGCCUA